Molecule: long non-coding RNA, 148 nt
Organism: Hyposmocoma kahamanoa
Lineage: Eukaryota; Metazoa; Arthropoda; Insecta; Lepidoptera; Cosmopterigidae
Exons: 3
Source: RefSeq, a predicted model, not a curated record
GCCCCAUCGAGUAUAUAACCAGAAAUAUAGACGAAAUGAGGAAAAGAAACUUAAUAUCUUAGCUAUUGAACUAUAUUUUACCGACUGCACUCUGUAGCUACUUCUUUGCGAUUCACUUUGUAGAAAAAUAACGAGACUCGUCGAGCUG